Molecule: ribosomal RNA, 440 nt
Filed under: uncultured bacterium
Lineage: Bacteria
Description: partial 16S ribosomal RNA
Rfam family: Bacterial small subunit ribosomal RNA
Source: RNAcentral
CCUACGGGUGGCAGCAGUAGGGAAUAUUGCUCAAUGGGGGAAACUCUGAAGCAGCAACGCCGCGUGGAGGAUGAAGGCUCUCGGAUUUGAAACUCCUUUUGUUAGAGGAGAUAAUGACGGUAUCUAACGAAUAAGCACCGGCUAACUCCGGGCCAGCAGCCGCGGUAAUACGUAGGGUGCAAGCGUUACUCGGAAUGACUGGGCGUAAAGGGCGGGUAGGCGGGAUAGCAAGUCAGAUGUGAAAUUCUAUGGCUUAACCAUAGAACUGCAGUUGAAACUGUAUUUCUAGAGUAUGGGAGCGGUAGGCGGAAUUCGUGGUGUAGGGGUAAAAUCCGUAGAGAUCAAGAGGAACACUGAUUGCGAAGGCGACCUGCUAGAACGUAACUGACGCUGAUGCGCGAAAGCGUGGGGAGCAAACAGGAUUAGAUACCCUUGUAGUC